UUAAGUUAUUAAGGGCGUAUGGUGGAUGCCUUGGCACUAGGAGCCGAUGAAGGACGUGACUAACUGCGAUAUGCUUCGGGGAGUUGUAAGUAAACUAUGAUCCGGAGAUUUCCGAAUGGGGAAACCUAACAGGUUUUACCGCCUGUUAUCACUAAGUGAAUUCAUAGCUUAGUUGAAGGUAGACGUGGGGAACUGAAACAUCUAAGUACCCACAGGAAGAGAAAGAAAUUCGAUUCCCUCAGUAGCGGCGAGCGAACCGGGAAGAGCCCAAACUAAGAAGCUUGCUUCUUAGGGUUGUAGGACUGAACAUCUGAGUUACCAAGAAAUGAAGUAGUUGAAUAAUCUGGGAAGAUUAGCCAAAGAGAGUGAUAGCCUCGUAAGCGAAACUUUGUUUCCUCAGUUCAGGAUCCUGAGUACGGCGGAACACGUGAAACUCCGUCGGAAUCCGGGAGGACCAUCUCCCAAGGCUAAAUACUACCUAGUGACCGAUAGUGAACCAGUACCGUGAGGGAAAGGUGAAAAGCACCCCGGGAGGGGAGUGAAAUAGUUCCUGAAACCAUAUGCCUACAAGUAGUCAGAGCUCGUUAAUGAGUGAUGGCGUGCCUUUUGUAGAAUGAACCGGCGAGUUACGUUAGCGUGCGAGGUUAAGGAGGAAAGUCCGGAGCCGUAGCGAAAGCGAGUCUGAAUAGGGCGAGAUAGUACGUUGACGUAGACCCGAAACCAGGUGACCUACCCAUGUCCAGGUUGAAGGUGCGGUAAAACGCACUGGAGGACCGAACCCGUGUAUGUUGAAAAAUGCUGGGAUGAGGUGUGGGUAGAGGUGAAAUUCCAAACGAACUUGGAGAUAGCUGGUUCUCUCCGAAAUAGCUUUAGGGCUAGCCUCGGAGUUAAGAAUCGUGGAGGUAGAGCACUGUUUGGACUAGGGGCCCGUCUUGGGUUACUGAAUUCAGAUAAACUCCGAAUGCCACAGAUUUAUAUCCGGGAGUCAGACUGCGAGUGAUAAGAUCCGUAGUCGAAAGGGAAACAGCCCAGACCACCGAUUAAGGUCCCAAAAUAUGUGUUAAGUGGAAAAGGAUGUGGAAUUGCAUAGACAACUAGGAUGUUGGCUUAGAAGCAGCCACCAUUUAAAGAGUGCGUAAUAGCUCACUAGUCGAGUGAUCCUGCGCCGAAAAUGUAACGGGGCUAAACACAUUACCGAAAUCGUGGAUGUACCUUAGGGUACAUGGUAGGAGAGCGUUCUAAGGACGGCGAAGCUAGACCGUAAGGACUGGUGGAGUGCUUAGAAGUGAGAAUGCCGGUAUGAGUAGCGAAAGAUCAGUGAGAAUCUGGUCCACCGUAUGACUAAGGUUUCCUGGGGAAGGCUCGUCCUCCCAGGGUUAGUCGGGACCUAAGCCGAGGCCGAGAGGCGUAGGCGAUGGAUAACAGGUUGAGAUUCCUGUACUGGUUAAACUUGUUUGAACAAUGGAGGGACGCAGGAGGCUAUCGAUGCGUACUGUUGGAUAUGUACGUUCAAGCAAUAAGUCUGUAGAUGAGUCAAAUGCUUAUCUACUUAAGGACAAGUUGUGAUGAGGAGCGAAAUUUAGUAGCGAAGUGAGAGACGUCACACUGCCAAGAAAAGCUUCUAGUUAGAGUUUAAUCACCCGUACCGCAAACCGACACAGGUAGUCGAGGCGAGUAGCCUAAGGUGAGCGAGAGAACUCUCGUUAAGGAACUCGGCAAAAUGACCCCGUAACUUCGGGAGAAGGGGUGCUGAGCGCAAGCUCAGCCGCAGUGAAUAGGCCCAGGCGACUGUUUAUCAAAAACACAGGUUUCUGCAAAAUCGUAAGAUGAAGUAUAGGGGCUGACGCCUGCCCGGUGCUGGAAGGUUAAGAGGAUGGGUUAGCGUAAGCGAAGCUCAGAAUUGAAGCCCCAGUAAACGGCGGCCGUAACUAUAACGGUCCUAAGGUAGCGAAAUUCCUUGUCGGGUAAGUUCCG
Molecule: ribosomal RNA, 1974 nt
Filed under: human gut metagenome
Description: bacterial LSU rRNA
Rfam family: Bacterial large subunit ribosomal RNA
Source: RNAcentral